GCACCGAGGAUUCAUUGGUAGAAUUCUCACCUUCUAUGCGAGAGGCCCAGGUUUGAUUCCUGGCCAAUGUG
This 71-nucleotide transfer RNA is filed under the name Loxodonta africana (African savanna elephant). It matches the Rfam family "tRNA". From Rfam's summary of the family: Transfer RNA (tRNA) molecules are approximately 80 nucleotides in length. Their secondary structure includes four short double-helical elements and three loops (D, anti-codon, and T loops). Lineage: Eukaryota; Metazoa; Chordata; Mammalia; Proboscidea; Elephantidae. The record is from Rfam by way of RNAcentral.